AUUGAACGCUGGCGGCAGGCCUAACACAUGCAAGUCGAGCGGAUGAAGGGAGCUUGCUCCUGGAUUCAGCGGCGGACGGGUGAGUAAUGCUUAGGAAUCUGCCUGGUAGUGGGGGAUAACGUCCGGAAACGGGCGCUAAUACCGCAUACGUCCUGAGGGAGAAAGUGGGGGAUCUUCGGACCUCACGCUAUCAGAUGAGCCUAGGUCGGAUUAGCUAGUUGGUGGGGUAAAGGCCUACCAAGGCGACGAUCCGUAACUGGUCUGAGAGGAUGAUCAGUCACACUGGAACUGAGACACGGUCCAGACUCCUACGGGAGGCAGCAGUGGGGAAUAUUGGACAAUGGGCGAAAGCCUGAUCAAGCCAUGCAGCGUGUGUGAAGAAGGUCUUCGGAUUGUAAAGCACUUUAAGUUGGGAGGAAGGGCAGUAAGUUAAUACCUUGCUGUUUUGACGUUACCAACAGAAUAAGCACCGGCUAACUUCGU
RNAcentral lists this ribosomal RNA (483 nucleotides) under uncultured bacterium. Its description in RNAcentral is "partial 16S ribosomal RNA". It matches the Rfam family "Bacterial small subunit ribosomal RNA", at positions 30 to 506 of the family's 1533-position model. The record is from RNAcentral.